CAUACAAUGUGUAAUACAGAUCCAAACAUGAUAGCCAGAUAGCCGGUACCGAUAUGUCGACAAUGGUACCCUUUCUUGUUUUUUACAGCUUCAGAACCCUUGAGAAAACAGUAUAUCUUUUUGUUGACAUUGUCUAUGCACUGUAAAAGCAAUGAUAUAGCAAGAUAAAAUAUUUCUCUUUCUUAAUUGUGAAAAUUAUAAUAAAGAAUACAGUCUUACACAUAAAAUUCAGUGCAGAUAUUGAUCCCAGAGAUCAUCAUAUUACAAGAUUGGAAGAAUUCUAUGUCUUCAUCAGUCCCUUUAACAAAAAUUCAUGCCUGGAAUUGCGAAAACGCUGUUUCUUUUCUCCCCCAAAUAAAAUUAGACCAGUUUAGCUUAGAGGUCAUUAGGGUUCUUUUCAGUUCACCACUAAGAAGUUCAAUAUUUUUGCCACUUAAGGUACUGGAUGAGUAUGGUAUAGUGGUAAGAAAACAUUUUAGGAACGACCAUCCCAGCAGCACUCUAAUUCUCGCUCCAUUAUGUAUAAUAUAUGUUUGUUGAUGACUUUACUUAUUAUAGAAUCUGUUAAUAAUCCCUAUUGACUUGGUUAAGGAGGCAGUUUCGACACUUUAAUCUUCUUUCUGGUUUUAUGUGACAGAGUUGUCUUCACAUUUACAAUAUUUUUCCUAUAGCCAUAAUUUUAAGUUCUAACUAUACAUAUUUCGACAGAAAAAAGUCACUAACUUUUCUAAAUGCAGGCAAUGACACUCACCAGAGAAUGAUGGAUUGUACUCAAUUUAACAGCGAGGACCACCAGAGCUGGACUUCUUUCACAGCAAUUUAAUUGUGAAUAUAAGGUUGAGUGGUCAUGAUGGGGAAGAGGGGC
This 865-nucleotide long non-coding RNA is filed under the name Daucus carota (carrot). Its description in RNAcentral is "long non-coding RNA (DCAR_LNC005366)". The record is from RNAcentral. Lineage: Eukaryota; Viridiplantae; Streptophyta; Magnoliopsida; Apiales; Apiaceae.